CAGUAAGGAAUAUUGGUCAAUGGACGAAAGUCUGAACCAGCCAUGCCGCGUGAAGGAUGAAGGCCCUCUGGGUUGUAAACUUCUUUUAUAGGGGACGAAAAAAGGGCAUUCUUGCUCACUUGACGGUACCCUAGGAAUAAGCACCGGCUAACUCCGUGCCAGCAGCCGCGGUAAUACGGAGGGUGCAAGCGUUAUCCGGAUUCACUGGGUUUAAAGGGUGCGUAGGUGGGUCUGUAAGUCAGUGGUGAAAUCUCCGAGCUUAACUCGGAAACUGCCAUUGAUACUAUAGGUCUUGAAUAUCCUGGAGGUGAGCGGAAUAUGUCAUGUAGCGGUGAAAUGCUUAGAUAUGACAUAGAACACCAAUUGCGAAGGCAGCUCGCUACGGGAUUAUUGACACUGAGGCACGAAAGCGUGGGGAUCAAACAGGAUUAGAUACCCUGGUAGUCCACGCCCUAAACGAUGGAUACUCGACAUCAGCGAUACACUGUUGGUGUCUG
This 497-nucleotide ribosomal RNA is filed under the name uncultured bacterium. Its description in RNAcentral is "bacterial SSU rRNA". It matches the Rfam family "Bacterial small subunit ribosomal RNA", at positions 352 to 849 of the family's 1533-position model. The record is from RNAcentral.